CAGGAUUAGAUACCCUGGUAGUCCACGCCGUAAACGAUGUCGACUUGGAGGUUGUGCCCUUGAGGCGUGGCUUCCGGAGCUAACGCGUUAAGUCGACCGCCUGGGGAGUACGGCCGCAAGGUUAAAACUCAAAUGAAUUGACGGGGGCCCGCACAAGCGGUGGAGCAUGUGGUUUAAUUCGAUGCAACGCGAAGAACCUUACCUGGUCUUGACAUCCACGGAAGUUUUCAGAGAUGAGAAUGUGCCUUCGGGAACCGUGAGACAGGUGCUGCAUGGCUGUCGUCAGCUCGUGUUGUGAAAUGUUGGGUUAAGUCCCGCAACGAGCGCAACCCUUAUCCUUUGUUGCCAGCGGUCCGGCCGGGAACUCAAAGGAGACUGCCAGUGAUAAACUGGAGGAAGGUGGGGAUGACGUCAAGUCAUCAUGGCCCUUACGACCAGGGCUACACACGUGCUACAAUGGCGCAUACAAAGAGAAGCGACCUCGCGAGAGCAAGCGGACCUCAUAAAGUGCGUCGUAGUCCGGAUUGGAGUCUGCAACUCGACUCCAUGAAGUCGGAAUCGCUAGUAAUCGUGGAUCAGAAUGCCACGGUGAAUACGUUCCCGGGCCUUGUACACACCGCCCGUCACACCAUGGGAGUGGGUUGCAAAAGAAGUAGGUAGCUUAACCUUCGGGAGGGCGCUUACCACUUUGUGAUUCAUGACUGGGGUGAAGUCGUAACAAGGUAACCGUAGGGGAACCUGCGGUUGGAUCAC
RNAcentral lists this ribosomal RNA (753 nucleotides) under Escherichia coli. Its description in RNAcentral is "bacterial SSU rRNA". It matches the Rfam family "Bacterial small subunit ribosomal RNA", at positions 773 to 1526 of the family's 1533-position model. The record is from RNAcentral. Lineage: Bacteria; Pseudomonadati; Pseudomonadota; Gammaproteobacteria; Enterobacterales; Enterobacteriaceae.